Molecule: ribosomal RNA, 378 nt
Filed under: Enterobacter cloacae
Lineage: Bacteria; Pseudomonadati; Pseudomonadota; Gammaproteobacteria; Enterobacterales; Enterobacteriaceae
Description: bacterial SSU rRNA
Rfam family: Bacterial small subunit ribosomal RNA
Source: RNAcentral
AGGUCAGCGUGGGGAGCAAACAGGAUUAGAUACCCUGGUAGUCCACGCCGUAAACGAUGUCGAUUUGGAGGUUGUGCCCUUGAGGCGUGGCUUCCGGAGCUAACGCGUUAAAUCGACCGCCUGGGGAGUACGGCCGCAAGGUUAAAACUCAAAUGAAUUGACGGGGGCCCGCACAAGCGGUGGAGCAUGUGGUUUAAUUCGAUGCAACGCGAAGAACCUUACCUGGUCUUGACAUCCACAGAACUUUCCAGAGAUGGAUUGGUGCCUUCGGGAACUGUGAGACAGGUGCUGCAUGGCUGUCGUCAGCUCGUGUUGUGAAAUGUUGGGUUAAGUCCCGCAACGAGCGCAACCCUUAUCCUUUGUUGCCAGCGGUUAGGU